CGUAGGUGAACCUGCGGAGGGAUCAGUUACACAAAUAUGAAGGCGGGCUGGAACCUCUCGGGGUUACAGCCUUGCUGAAUUAUUCACCCUUGUCUUUUGCGUACUUCUUGUUUCCUUGGUGGGUUCGCCCACCACUAGGACAAACAUAAACCUUUUGUAAUUGCAAUCAGCGUCAGUAACAAAUUAAUAAUUACAACUUUCAACAACGGAUCUCUUGGUUCUGGCAUCGAUGAAGAACGCAGCGAAAUGCGAUAAGUAGUGUGAAUUGCAGAAUUCAGUGAAUCAUCGAAUCUUUGAACGCACAUUGCGCCCUUUGCGUAUUCCAAAGGGCAUGCCUGUUCGAGCGUCAUUUGUACCCUCAAGCUUUGCUUGGUGUUGGGCGUCUUGUCUCUAGCUUUGCUGGAGACUCGCCUUAAAGUAAUUGGCAGCCGGCCUACUGGUUUCGGAGCGCAGCACAAGUCGCACUCUCUAUCAGCAAAGGUCUAGCAUCCAUUAAGCCUUUUUUUCAACUUUUGACCUCGGAUCAGGUAGGGAUACCCGCUGAACUUAAGCAUAUCAAUAAGCGGAGGAAAAGAAACCAACAGGGAUUGCCCUAGUAACUGCGAGAA
This 608-nucleotide unclassified non-coding RNA is filed under the name Alternaria sp. SW. Its description in RNAcentral is "sequence contains ITS1, 5.8S rRNA gene, ITS2". The stretch from base 195 to 349 matches the Rfam family "5.8S ribosomal RNA". Lineage: Eukaryota; Fungi; Ascomycota; Dothideomycetes; Pleosporales; Pleosporaceae. The record is from RNAcentral.